RNAcentral lists this ribosomal RNA (511 nucleotides) under uncultured bacterium. Its description in RNAcentral is "partial 16S ribosomal RNA". It matches the Rfam family "Bacterial small subunit ribosomal RNA", at positions 28 to 506 of the family's 1533-position model. The record is from RNAcentral.
GAUGAACGCUGGCGGCGUGCCUAAUACAUGCAAGUCGAACGAAACUUCUUUAUCACCGAGUGCUUGCACUCACCGAUAAAGAGUUGAGUGGCGAACGGGUGAGUAACACGUGGGCAACCUGCCCAAAAGAGGGGGAUAACACUUGGAAACAGGUGCUAAUACCGCAUAACCAUAGUUACCGCAUGGUAACUAUGUAAAAGGUGGCUAUACUACCGCUUUUGGAUGGGCCCGCGGCGCAUUAGCUAGUUGGUAGGGUAAAGGCUUACCAAGGCAAUGAUGCGUAGCCGAAUUGAGAGGUUGAUCGGCCACAUUGGGACUGAGACACGGCCCAAACUCCUACGGGAGGCAGCAGUAGGGAAUCUUCCACAAUGGGCGAAAGCCUGAUGGAGCAACGCCGCGUGGGUGAAGAAGGUCUUCGGAUCGUAAAACCCUGUUGUUAGAGAAGAAAGUGCGUGAGAGUAACUGUUCACGUUUCGACGGUAUCUAACCAGAAAGCCACUGCUAACUACGG